ACCCGAACCCAGGCCCGCUGACUCGUAGUUCAGUGCUCGUGGUAGCUGCUGGGCCCUGAACUAGGGGUCUGGGGGCCUGGGUUUGAAUAUC
RNAcentral lists this microRNA precursor (91 nucleotides) under Erinaceus europaeus (western European hedgehog). RNAcentral's name for it is "mir-345 microRNA precursor family". It matches the Rfam family "mir-345 microRNA precursor family". The record is from Rfam by way of RNAcentral. Lineage: Eukaryota; Metazoa; Chordata; Mammalia; Eulipotyphla; Erinaceidae.